CGAACGGGCUUAAACUGAAACUUAGUGAAGUUUAAGUUAGUGGCGGACGGGUGAGUAACGCGUGGAUAACCUGCCGUAUGCAGGGGGAUACCAACUGGAAACAGUUGCUAAUACCGCAUAAGCGCACAGCACCGCAUGGUGCAGUGUGAAAAGAUUUAUCGGCAUACGAUGGAUCCGCGUCCGAUUAGCCAGUUGGCGGGGUAGAAGCCCACCAAAGCGACGAUCGGUAGCCGGCCUGAGAGGGCGGACGGCCACAUUGGGACUGAGACACGGCCCAAACUCCUACGGGAGGCAGCAGUGGGGAAUAUUGCACAAUGGGGGGAACCCUGAUGCAGCGACGCCGCGUGGGUGAAGGAGUACUUCGGUACGUAAAGCCCUAUCAGCAGGAAAGAAAAUGACGGUACCUGACUAAGAAGCCCCGGCUAACUACGUGCCAGCAGCCGCGGUAAUACGUAGGGGGCAAGCGUUAUCCGGAUUUACUGGGUGUAAAGGGAGCGUAGACGGCAGUGCAAGUCCGGAGUGAAAGCCCGGGGCUCUACCCUGGGACUGCUCUGGAAACUGUAAAGCUGGAGUGCGGGAGGGGCAGGCGGCAUUCCUGGUGUAGCGGUGAAAUGCGU
Molecule: ribosomal RNA, 617 nt
Filed under: uncultured bacterium
Lineage: Bacteria
Description: bacterial SSU rRNA
Rfam family: Bacterial small subunit ribosomal RNA
Source: RNAcentral